This 224-nucleotide ribosomal RNA is filed under the name uncultured bacterium. Its description in RNAcentral is "partial 16S ribosomal RNA". It matches the Rfam family "Bacterial small subunit ribosomal RNA", at positions 943 to 1167 of the family's 1533-position model. The record is from RNAcentral.
GGUUUAAUCGAAGCAACGCGAAGAACCUUACCAAAUCUUGACAUCCUUUGACAACUCUAGAGAUAGAGCUUUCCCCUUCGGGGGACAAAGUGACAGGUGGUGCAUGGUUGUCGUCAGCUCGUGUCGUGAGAUGUUGGGUUAAGUCCCGCAACGAGCGCAACCCUUAAGCUUAGUUGCCAUCAUUAAGUUGGGCACUCUAAGUUGACUGCCGGUGACAAACCGGA